CAGCCGUAAACUAUGCGCGUUAGGUGUAUCGGUGACCACGAGUUACCGAGGUGCCGAAGGGAAACCGUGAAACGUGCCGCCUGGGAAGUACGGUCGCAAGGCUGAAACUUAAAGGAAUUGGCGGGGGAGCACCACAACAGGUGGAGCCUGCGGGUUUAAUUGGACUCAACGCCGGGAAGCUCACCGGAUAGGACAGCAGAAUGAUUGCCGGGCUGAAGACCCUGCAUGACUAGCUGAGAGGAGGUGCAUGGCGUAGACGUCU
RNAcentral lists this ribosomal RNA (262 nucleotides) under uncultured archaeon. RNAcentral describes it as "partial 16S ribosomal RNA". It matches the Rfam family "Archaeal small subunit ribosomal RNA", at positions 748 to 1009 of the family's 1478-position model. The record is from RNAcentral.